UACGAAGGGGGCUAGCGUCGUUCGGAAUUACUGGGCGUAAAGCGUGCGCAGUCGGCUUCUCAAGUCAGGGGUGAAAGCCCAGAGCUCAACUCUGGAAUUGCCUUUGAGACUGAGUGGCUUGAGUACGAGAGAGGUGAGUGGAAUUCCCAGUGUAGAGGUGAAAUUCGUAGAUAUUGGGAAGAACACCGGUGGCGAAGGCGGCUCACUGGCUCGUAACUGACGCUCAUGCACGACAGCGUGGGGAUCAAACAGG
Molecule: ribosomal RNA, 253 nt
Filed under: uncultured bacterium
Lineage: Bacteria
Description: partial 16S ribosomal RNA
Rfam family: Bacterial small subunit ribosomal RNA
Source: RNAcentral